RNAcentral lists this non-coding RNA (26 nucleotides) under Mus musculus (house mouse). Lineage: Eukaryota; Metazoa; Chordata; Mammalia; Rodentia; Muridae. The record is from RNAcentral.
UACUGUGUGCCUGAGCCCAUGUGUAC